This 460-nucleotide ribosomal RNA is filed under the name uncultured bacterium. RNAcentral's name for it is "partial 16S ribosomal RNA". It matches the Rfam family "Bacterial small subunit ribosomal RNA", at positions 338 to 795 of the family's 1533-position model. The record is from RNAcentral.
CCUACGGGAGGCAGCAGUGAGGAAUAUUGGUCAAUGGGCGCGAGCCUGAACCAGCCAAGUAGCGUGAAGGAUGACUGCCCUACGGGUUGUAAACUUCUUUUGUAAAGGAAUAAAGUGAGGCACGUGUGCCUUUUUGUAUGUACUUUAUGAAUAAGGAUCGGCUAACUCCGUGCCAGCAGCCGCGGUAAUACGGAGGGUCCGAGCUUUCACAGGAUUUAUUGGGUUUAAAGGGAACGUAGAUGGGUUGUUAAGUCAGUUGUGAAAUUUUGCGGCUCAACCGUAAAAUUGCAAUUGAUACUGGCAGUCUUGAGUACAGUUGAGGUAGGCGGAAUUCGUGGUGUAGCGGUGAAAUGCUUAGAUAUCACGAAGAACUCCGAUUGCGAAGGUAGCUUACUAAACUGCCACUGACAUUGAUGCUCGAAAGUGUGGGUAUCAAACAGGAUUAGAUACCCCUGUAGUC